This 2752-nucleotide long non-coding RNA is filed under the name Triticum aestivum (bread wheat). RNAcentral's name for it is "long non-coding RNA (TAES_LNC003222)". Lineage: Eukaryota; Viridiplantae; Streptophyta; Magnoliopsida; Poales; Poaceae. The record is from RNAcentral.
UUCACUCUUUGUCGUGGGAAGGUGACUAAAGCUCCAUAUUGCAAUUUCACUAGACUAUCCGGAUUUCAUUUAGUGUUCAAAAUUAAAUACUUUCUUGUCCAGUCAUACUAGUACUGAUGAACGUCAAGUUGACGUUGUGCUGCUGUAAAGCAACUGUACAACUCAAGGCCCCCCCCCCCCGCGAGCCCCCGCGUCGCUCCCAGGGGCGACUCGGGAGGCGAAACCCUAGCCGCCGCCCAGGCUCCCCUCCCCCUCCCUCCCCUCGCCGUCGCCGGAGGAUGCCGGCAGGCAAAGCCCUCACCGGUGGACGGCGGCGGCGGGGCCCUCGUUCGUGUGCUCGCGCGCUGCUGCUGGGCGCGCUGGAGCGGCGGGAGCGCGCGGUGGCGCGGUGGGCGGCCGUCUGCUCGCGGGGAGGUCGAGAUGGCGUGGACUGCGUGCGCGGUGGCGCUGCCAUGGCGGCCGCCGGCCGCUGAUGCGUGCGGCAGAGUUGAGGGCGCCCAGAUCUGGGCCGCACGAGCCCGCCCAGGCCGGCGACAAUCACUCUGCCCCCACCCACCCCUCUCCCUCCUCCCACCCCUCGUGGCCGCUGCCGGCGGUUGCCGCUGGGUUAGUAAGCACGCGCGCGGCGACCUUGACGGUUGCUGCUCCGCUGUGCCCCGGCGGAUCCUGGUGGCGGAGGCUGCGGGCCAGCGCGGCCGCGGCGCGGUGCAGGUGGCUGCUGCUGCCUGCUGAACACGCUCCCGGCGGUGGCCGGCCUGCUGGAGCUGCGCUGGUCGGUGCUCACUCCUGCGACGACAACGUUUCUAGGCUUCCCCCAUGUGUGUUGGUCUUCUCCGACGAUUCUUCGCCAUGCCCGGUCUGCCAUUGCAUCUGAGGUCUUCGUCCUUGGGUCGGGGCGAAAUCCCCGCGCGGCGACGGCCUGCGCUGUCAACGGCGACGCCCGAGGGUGCCGUCACCUCCUUGGAGGCGUUGGCAUGACCCUGACCAGACCUCCUCCUCGAGCACCGGGAGAAAUCCUAGGUCCGGUCUCCCGGACCGGGCAGCGGCGGCGUCUCAACGCCGUUCCCCUCUUGAUGGCGCUGCUUUGGCUGCAAGUGGAGUACUUGAUGCGGCAGAUAGUGGUUGGCGAUGCAUCGCUCUGGCGUAGACUGCUACACAAGGAGCAGGUCGCAACAUUUGCCUGCGCCGGCGCUCCCCAAUGAAUGCUACACCAGUUCCAAUCAGGCCCUGCUUUUCACCCGCCGACUCUCUAGGCACAUGGGUGCGAGGUACGUCGGCUUGGGCGGUCCUGAAGCUGCAUUCGUCCCUGGAAGUGCCUGGCAAUGGCAGUGAUGCUGCCCUGUUGCUCCGAGUCUCGGUGCUUCGCCAUUUUGGCUGGAGGCAAGGCUGGGCGAGGCCUAAUGUCGUUGCGUGUCUGUAGUUGAGGGCACCUCCUCACCUAGCUGUAGUCACUUGGUGAGGACGGUCGUGUGUGUGUGUGUGUGCGUGCGCGUGUGUGUGUGUCCCUCCUUUUUGGAGGUUGUACCCCUGAUGUCUUCCUGUUCAAUGCAAUGAAACGCAACUCUUUUGCGUUUUCUCGAAAAAGUUGACGUUGUGCUCGGCCAUAGGCCUGCCCUUUCUCUCUCCCUUUGGUUCGAGGAGCAGCAACUGCUGGCCUGCAGUGCCGCCAUCUGAAGACAAGGGAGAUGGCCAUAAUUCCCUUAUGGUAAUUAUGCAGGUGCGGAACCUUCCAAGUGCACGGCAGCCUUGUCCGUCCAAGUUGAGCACUGGGCGCCGUCCGAGUAGAGCACCGCGCCUCGUCCAAGUUCCCAUCUAAUGUUGAAUAAUAUACCGCUGAGUGCUAUUGACGGUCAGUUACUUCUUCGUUUCAUGCUGCACAUGUGAACUGAAAAUUGUAGAAAAGAGAAUUUAGUAUGUUUUGGAGAGCUUAAUUUCCCAAGUGGCAAAUUUGAUCUGUACCAGUAAGUACAUGAUUAAUAUUUUAUAAUAUGUGUGGUUCCAGUAAGUACAUGAGUACUAUUUAGCAUGUUUGAUUGCUUCUGAAUAAUGAAAAUGUGUGUGUACUGAUGCAUUUCAAAAAUUGUGAUGUGUGUUCUCAAGAAAAAACAUUUCCUGGUUAUUGGUGCCGCUGGAUAACUGUCAUAGUUCGUCGCCAGCAAAGUUCUUGAACUUGGCUUAUACCAGUAGUAGAACUUACUUGUUCUCCGUGACAUAAAAUUGAAAACAGACAAAAAAUUCUCAAGUAAUGUAAUCUGUAGCAAAACAUAGUAAAUAUUUUUAUCGAAAUGUUGCACAAGUAGUGUUCCAUUUAUCUUUCUCUCAUGCCUGCCCUUUUGGUCUUAUAGGAAUUGAGGCUUCGCCAAGGAACAAGAUUGGUAACUAGCGCAAAGGAGACUAUGUCGAGAGGUGGCACUGCUAGACUUGUUGAUGUGUAGUUAUGGCAUAAAAAAGAUGAAAAAAUGGUAUCUUGUAUGAUUCCACAAGGUGCACGUAGCAAAUCAUCCCAUGUGGAUCAGGACAACUUAUGUAUGGCCUUUAGUUCACAAAUCUUAUAGUAAUCUUUGUAGUAAUCUUCAUAACACUUCGUAAAGCAAGAGUGUCCCUUUUUUGUGAGCAGCAAUUCAAACGAAACUGUUGUAUCUUUUCUUAUGAUGGAUAGAAGAAAGUUCACUAGCCAAAAGGUUAGAGAAGUCUACCUUAUAAUUUGCAAUCUUAAAGAUAAUGAUCGGUUUGAAUUAAAAAAUCAGUUUGC